AGAGUUUGAUCCUGGCUCAGGAUGAACGCUAGCGGUGCGCCUAACACAUGCAAGUCGAACGGAGUUUAAAAGUAGCUUGCUACUUUUAAACUUAGUGGCAAACGGGUGAGUAAUAAGUUAGUACCUACCUCAAAGUCAGGGAUAGCCCAGAGAAAUCUGGAUUAAUACCGGAUGUGUCCUACGGGAUAAAGCAGCAAUGCGCUUAGAGAGGGGCUUUCUUCCUAUCAGUUAGUUGGUGAGGUAAUAGCUCACCAAGACUAUGACGGGUAAUUGGUCUGAGAGGAUGACCAGUCACAAUGGAACUGAGACACGGUCCAUACUCCUACGGGAGGCAGCAGUGAGGAAUCUUUCACAAUGGGCGAAAGCCUGAUGGAGGGACACCGCGUGAAGGAUGAAGGAUUUAUUUUCGUAAACUUCUUUUCUCUGGGAAGAUAAUGACGGUACCAGAGGAAUAAGGGACGGCUAACUACGUGCCAGCAGCCGCGGUAA
RNAcentral lists this ribosomal RNA (489 nucleotides) under uncultured bacterium. Its description in RNAcentral is "bacterial SSU rRNA". It matches the Rfam family "Bacterial small subunit ribosomal RNA", at positions 8 to 523 of the family's 1533-position model. The record is from RNAcentral.